UGCACAAUAUUCGUUGCUAGAGGUUCCAAAAAACAUUGCUUCACACUUUCUUAUUGAUAUGCAGUUAUACUAAGCACGGCCAAACGCUAAUGAGGGUUGAUGACAGUUGCAAUCCUCUCUCGCAUUUGACUGCAAACUGCCAUCGAGUCUCGUGUACUCACAUCAACUUUGAGCUGGUUCAAAUUUGAAUGAGAGUUUUUGUUUGUUCGAUGGGUAAAAUCUAGCCAACUUUCGUCAACCCCCAGGCUACCUUGCUUCUGUUUGACCGGCACCAUAAGAGUUGACAUGGCCAUGGGAGUUGAGAAAACUCUCGUGCAAACUCUCGCUUCUCA
This is a non-coding RNA of Paramuricea clavata, 332 nucleotides long. NCBI's taxonomy places the organism in Eukaryota, Metazoa, Cnidaria, Anthozoa, Malacalcyonacea, Plexauridae. The record is from the annotation of a GenBank genome assembly.